CUCCGGAGGAUGCUCUCGUUCUCCGGAUUUAUUGGUUUUCCCUUUUUCUCCUUCUUUCUUUUCCUUCCGCGGUGAAAUUUUCAGGCUCAACCUGAACACUGCCGUUGAAACUGGGAUUCUUGAGUAUGGAUGAAGUAGGCGGAAUUCGUUGUGUAGCGGUGACAUGCUUAGAUAUAACGAGGAACUCCGAUUGCGUAGGCAGCUUACUAAGCCAUAACUGACGCUCAAGCACGAAAGCGUGGGGAUCAAACAGGAUUAGAUACCCUGGUAGUCCACGCCGUAAACGAUGAUUACUAGUUGUUUGCGAUAUACCGUAAGUGACUAAGCGAAAGCGAUAAGUAAUCCACCUGGGGAGUACGCCGGCAACGGUGAA
RNAcentral lists this ribosomal RNA (373 nucleotides) under uncultured bacterium. RNAcentral describes it as "bacterial SSU rRNA". It matches the Rfam family "Bacterial small subunit ribosomal RNA", at positions 523 to 898 of the family's 1533-position model. The record is from RNAcentral.